CAGUAACCAGCAUGAGUAUUUUCAAGAUCAGGAUGAACCUGGACUGAGAGAACAAAGAUGACUAAGGUCGGCAUAGCAUGAAGCUCAUUGCAUAAGUUGCUUUUAUCAUCAGUCACUGACAAAAUGCUCAAUAAGAAUAUUCAAGAAAGUUCUGAAGCCUGCUGUAAAGCAAACAACUUUAGACAGAAGAACAUGGACUCACAAUUUAUCAUGCCUUCUUCAGAAGAUACUUCUUAGGUAGAAGAUAGCAAGAAGGAGUAGAGUAAAAAUGCAUCAGAAGCAGGAAAGGUGUUGAAGAGUUG
Molecule: long non-coding RNA, 302 nt
Filed under: Cricetulus griseus (Chinese hamster)
Lineage: Eukaryota; Metazoa; Chordata; Mammalia; Rodentia; Cricetidae
Description: lncRNA (ENSCGRG00015029789.1)
Source: RNAcentral